This 205-nucleotide long non-coding RNA is filed under the name Musa acuminata (dwarf banana). Its description in RNAcentral is "long non-coding RNA (MACU_LNC005222)". Lineage: Eukaryota; Viridiplantae; Streptophyta; Magnoliopsida; Zingiberales; Musaceae. The record is from RNAcentral.
UUGAAUCUCGGAUUUUGAUGAUAUAAUCAAUUGGUGGGUUAAUUGAUCUAAUCCAUAUUAUUGAGUUAAGUGUGCAGAAUUAACUACGAUAACCAGAAAACAUAAAGCAAGGAUACCGGAGUCGAGCUCGAUGGACGUUUAAGAGACCGAAGAAUCAUCGGAGAUGCUGCCGGAACCAUCCGAGAAGAAAUUGGGAACGUGUCGG